AAUCAACGCUGGCGGCGUGCCUAACACAUGCAAGUCGAGCGGGAAAGGGGGCUUCGGCCCCUGAGUAUAGCGGCGGACGGGUGAGUAACACGUGGGUAAUUUGCCCUUGGGUGUGGAAUAACCCAGGGAAACUUGAGCUAAUACCGCAUGACAUCCCCUUCACACACGAGUCGGGGAUCAAAGCCGGGGACCCUUCGGGGCCUGGCGCCUGAGGAGAAGCCCGCGCCCGAUUAGCUAGUUGGNGAGGUAAUGGCUCACCAAGGCUUCGAUCGGUAGCCGGCCUGAGAGGGCGGACGGCCACACUGGGACUGAGACACGGCCCAGACUCCUACGGGAGGCAGCAGUGGGGAAUUUUGUCAAUGGGGGAAACCCUGAACAAGCAACG
Molecule: ribosomal RNA, 385 nt
Filed under: uncultured bacterium
Lineage: Bacteria
Description: bacterial SSU rRNA
Rfam family: Bacterial small subunit ribosomal RNA
Source: RNAcentral